Molecule: ribosomal RNA, 476 nt
Filed under: uncultured bacterium
Lineage: Bacteria
Description: partial 16S ribosomal RNA
Rfam family: Bacterial small subunit ribosomal RNA
Source: RNAcentral
AGUGAACGCUGGCGGCGUGCUUAACACAUGCAAGUCGAACGGAUGAAAUAAGCUUGCUUAUUUCGUUAGUGGCGCACGGGUGAGUAAUGUAUAGCUAACCUGCCCUCUAGUGGGGGACAACAGUUGGAAACGACUGCUAAUACCCCAUACUCCUUCUUAUCAUAAGGUAAGUCGGGAAAGAUUUAUUGCUAAAGGAUGGGGCUUUAUUAUAUCAGCUUGUUGGUGGGGUAAUGGUCUACCAAGGCGAUGACGCAUACCUGGUCUGAGAGGAUGAUCAGGCACACUGGAACUGAGACACGGUCCAGACUCCUACGGGAGGCAGCAGUGGGGAAUAUUGCACAAUGGGGGAAACCCUGAUGCAGCAACGCCGCGUGGAGGAUGACGCAUUUCGGUGUGUAAACUCCUUUUAUAAGGGAAGAUAAUGACGGUACCUUAUGAAUAAGCACCGGCUAACUCCGUGCCAGCAGCCGCGGUAA